Chenopodium quinoa (quinoa) is the source of this 1218-nucleotide long non-coding RNA. RefSeq lists it as uncharacterized. Lineage: Eukaryota; Viridiplantae; Streptophyta; Magnoliopsida; Caryophyllales; Amaranthaceae. The transcript has 3 exons. The record is from RefSeq and is a predicted model, not a curated record.
AAAAAAACAAAAAAAAUUAAAAAAAUUAAAAAAAAAAACCUAAAACUACCUAGCCACCCUAGCCCCACCAUUGCCACCUUCUUCUUCUUCAGCUUGACCCACAGCCGGCGACGCAACGACCGGCGCACCACCUCCCCCUCCCUCACCGGCCAACCUAAACCCUUCCCCACUCACUCAAUCACAGCAGCUCCACCUCCCCCCUCUCAAUCACCUCAAGCAUAAACCCAGAAUUCGUCGCCAUCACCUGCAGCCGCCACCUGCCCGUCGCCAUCACCAGCCACGAAUUUCAAUUUGCUCUGAGUUUAUGGCUGUUGCUCCAAGAACGGCCACGAAUUCGGCCAUUGAUGGCCGAAAUCGGCCGGUUAAGGCCACUCAGCCCCAAAACCGGUCGAUUUCAACCAUUAAUGGCUGAAUUCGUCGCCGUUUUUGGGCGUUUAUUUGUGGCUGAAUUCGGCCAUUGAUGGCGGUGUUAAGGGCGGUUUAGGGCUGGGGAAAGGGAAGGGGAGGGGUUCUGGUGGGUCGGGUAAACGGAGGGGGAGGGAUGCGCCGGCGGCCGCGCUAGGUGAGGGUGGAGAAGAAGGUGGCGGUGGUGGGGCUGGGGUGGAUGGGUAGUUUUAGGAUUUUUUUUUUAAUUUUUUAAAACAAGUAAAAUGGUGACACGUGUCACUGUGGACUCCACUUAACGGUAAAAACCAUUUUCGUAACAUUUGUCAGGUGUUAAAUAAAUUUUUUUUUUUUUGGAGGUGUUAAAACCCAAUUUCGGAUUUUUGUCAAGUGUUAAAAUAAAAAAUAUCCUAAUUUUUAUUAAUUAUCAAAAUAUUUAAAAAAAAAAAAAACCAAUGAGGACAUGACACGUGGAUUGCAACCUGAUAUAACAAGUCAAGUGACCUGCUUGGUUUACUACGAGAGAAAAAAUGCAAACUUGUGUUUAUUUUGGGAAGAUUUAAAGGUUGGUCCAUUUUGGGACAAUGGAGCAAAGUUGCUGCAGCAUAUUUGGCAAGGAGAUGUGCACGCUGAACCCGUGACCGAUCAACUUUGUGAGCCCAACAGUAGAGCAACUUAGAAGUAAUGAAUUUGAUGUGCCGAAUAAGCCAGAGGCAUCAGAUACGAUCACAAAAGUAUACAAAGUAUAUUAUCUUAGCCAGAGGAAACAAGUUUCUCGUUUAUCAACUAAGCUUGUCAGCUAAGAAUUUUAGGUCACUCGGUUGAGUUUCUCUU